Molecule: small nuclear RNA, 107 nt
Organism: Nomascus leucogenys (northern white-cheeked gibbon)
Lineage: Eukaryota; Metazoa; Chordata; Mammalia; Primates; Hylobatidae
Source: Ensembl
UUGCUUGCUUCAGCAACACAUAUAUUAUAAUUGGAACAAUACAGAGAAGAUUAUCAUGACCCCUGAGCAAAGAUGACAUGGAAAUUUGUGAAGUAUUUCGUAUUUUU